RNAcentral lists this ribosomal RNA (496 nucleotides) under uncultured bacterium. RNAcentral describes it as "partial 16S ribosomal RNA". It matches the Rfam family "Bacterial small subunit ribosomal RNA", at positions 29 to 507 of the family's 1533-position model. The record is from RNAcentral.
AUGAACGCUGGCGGCGUGCCUAAUACAUGCAAGUCGAGCGAACGGACGAGAAGCUUGCUUCUCUGAUGUUAGCGGCGGACGGGUGAGUAACACGUGGAUAACCUACCUAUAAGACUGGGAUAACUUCGGGAAACCGGAGCUAAUACCGGAUAAUAUUUUGAACCGCAUGGUUCAAAAGUGAAAGACGGUCUUGCUGUCACUUAUAGAUGGAUCCGCGCUGCAUUAGCUAGUUGGUAAGGUAACGGCUUACCAAGGCAACGAUGCAUAGCCGACCUGAGAGGGGGAUCGGCCAAACUGGAACUGAGACACGGUCCAGACUCCUACGGGAGGCAGCAGUAGGGAAUCUUCCGCAAUGGGCGAAAGCCUGACGGAGCAACGCCGCGUGAGUGAUGAAGGUCUUCGGAUCGUAAAACUCUGUUAUUAGGGAAGAAAAUAUGUGUAAGUAACUGUGCACAUCUUGACGGUACCUAAUCAGAAAGCCACGGCUAACUACGUG